UCAGGAAGAUGGGAACAUCUGGGAAAGAGCAGUAUAGAUCACAGAGGUGGUGAGAGAAACAUCUUCUCUGAUACCGAUGAGGUUUUGUAGCCUAGAUUUUAUCUCCUCUCUUACUAGUCCAGCAUGACAACAAGGGAGAAUAGAGGAUAGAUUCUCAUCAUUGGACAGAGACGGUCUUCGAAGCAGACAGGAACGAGGAGAAAUCAUCGUUUUAGAGUUUAGGCUUUUUGCAGCA
This 235-nucleotide long non-coding RNA is filed under the name Eutrema salsugineum. RNAcentral's name for it is "long non-coding RNA (ESAL_LNC000334)". Lineage: Eukaryota; Viridiplantae; Streptophyta; Magnoliopsida; Brassicales; Brassicaceae. The record is from RNAcentral.